GAUGAACGCUGGCGGCGUGCCUAAUACAUGCAAGUCGAGCGAACAGACGAGGAGCUUGCUCGGCUGACGUUAGCGGCGGACGGGUGAGUAACACGUGGAUAACCUACCUAAAAGACUGGGAUAACUUCGGGAAAGCGGAGCUAAUAGGGGAGAAUAUCUUGAACCGCAUGGUUCAAUAGUGAAAGACGGUGUUGCGGGCAGUAAUAGAGGGAUCCGCGCCGGAUUAGCUAGUUGGUGAGGUAACGGCUUAUCAAGGCAAGGAGGCGUGGCCGACCUGAGAGGGUGAUCGGCCACACUAGAACUGAGCCACGGUCCAGACUCCUACGGGAGGCAGCAGUCGCGAAUCUUCCGCAAUGGGCGAAAGCUUGACGGAGCAACGCCGCGUGAGUGAUGACGGUCUUCCGAUCGUAAAACUCUGUUAUUAGGGAAGAACAACUGUGUCAGUAACUAUGCCCUUCUUGACGGUACCUAAUCAGAAAGCCACGGCUAACUACGUG
Molecule: ribosomal RNA, 497 nt
Filed under: uncultured bacterium
Lineage: Bacteria
Description: partial 16S ribosomal RNA
Rfam family: Bacterial small subunit ribosomal RNA
Source: RNAcentral